GACAACAUGUGCAGACCGUUUAAAAUACAGAUCCUGCAGAUGACAGCUCAGUGACAGUGUUUUUAAUAUCACUAAACAGCAUCUAUUCCAGCACAUAAACAAACAAAACCGAUAAAGUGCAGGAAUGGAGAGUCACUAUUAAGGGAUGUGUUUGAACAGAAGCAGAGCUCUGGGACGUGUGGACAGACUUUCACUGUAAUGAUGGACAUCCGCUCGUGGACACAAGUAUAACCCCUGCUGGACAUGGUGCCGGGUCUCGGGGGGGACCCGAAUCGUCCCCAUCCCUUCAUUCACACAACACUCACUCAUAUCGCGGAGAUCUGGCUGGGAUCGAACCAGCAACCUCUGAACCGUGAGGCAGCGCUCUUACCUAGAGAUGAAACUGGACAUGCCACGCUCGUCUGGAAGAGAUGAUGAUAUGCAGGAUCCAGUGACAAAUCCUGAAAAGCUGAGAGCUCAUAUCACGUUUUUAACUUUUAUAUAAAGUGAACAGUGUAGCACUACAUUCACAGCUUUUUUUGGGGGGGAUAAAAGUUUCUUGUUAACAAGAAACUGAUUAAUAAUAAUACAUUAAUGUAUUUACUCACCCAUGGAUGCUAGUAGUAUCCAAAAAUAAUAUCCCACCAAGACAAUCUAAAGAUGGGGGAAAAUAAGGCUAUCAAGAGUGAGAGAGUCUGUUUGGAAACCUAAUUUAUAUAAAGUGACAGUAUCUCUUCUGAAGGAUCGAUACAAAGGAUUUGGAGGGACCAAGUAAGAAAGGAGUGGGCAGAGCUAGUGAGAGAAAGCCAACUCCUCUUAAACUUUACAGAAAAAUACAGAAAAGAAAUGUAGCAUCAAAAGUGUUACAUGUGACAGCUUUUAAAAGAAAGCUGUGCUUCACAUUACAUUUCAAAUAAAAUGAAAAUACAGCACAGAAACAUUAGCCAGUUUUCAUGCACUUCUUUAAUAUAUCAGUUUUCCAUAUUCACAACAAAUACAUUAAGCUCUUUUUCCUUUUAUAUUAUACAGUCUUAAAUAUUUUUACACAGAAACAUUUUCUCAGAAUUUUCAUCUAUCAAAAUGUCUUUUCUUAACCUUUAUUUCUUAAGUUGAAACAUUUGAAGUCAUUUCAAUGUUUUUAUCUCCAUGCCUCCUAGCAAACAGACAGUACUUCCUUUGUACAGCUAUUUACAGAUGAAAAGAGUCUCCCAAACAUUUGUAUGAUACUUCUCACUUGAAUGAACUUGCACUGGUGGGGUUUAAAGUGCAGGCAAGGCAACAGAAAGAGAAUGUGAUACAGACGUUUUUGGUGAAGGCUUUAAAAAUGCAAUAAAAUGGGGGUUUGGGGAGUGAAAGAAA
Cyprinus carpio (common carp) is the source of this 1338-nucleotide long non-coding RNA. RefSeq lists it as uncharacterized. Lineage: Eukaryota; Metazoa; Chordata; Actinopteri; Cypriniformes; Cyprinidae. The record is from RefSeq and is a predicted model, not a curated record.